AGCUUUGCAGAGAGGCAGUAUUGUAGCAAAUAAGGUUUAUCCAAGGCUUAACUAUUGCUAAUUGAAAAAAAAAAUUGACAAACAUCACCUUCCUCUCCCACCAGGUCUUCUUCCAACUUUGCAUACGUUUUAAAAUG
This 137-nucleotide small nuclear RNA is filed under the name Fukomys damarensis (Damara mole-rat). Its description in RNAcentral is "U4 spliceosomal RNA". It matches the Rfam family "U4 spliceosomal RNA". From Rfam's summary of the family: U4 small nuclear RNA (U4 snRNA) is a component of the major U2-dependent spliceosome. The record is from Rfam by way of RNAcentral. Lineage: Eukaryota; Metazoa; Chordata; Mammalia; Rodentia; Bathyergidae.